AUUGAACGCUGGCGGCAGGCUUAACACAUGCAAGUCGAACGGUAACAUAAAGAAGCUUGCUUCUUUGAUGACGAGUGGCGGACGGGUGAGUAAUGCUUGGGAAUCUAGCUUAUGGAGGGGGAUAACUACGGGAAACCGUAGCUAAUACCGCGUAGUAUCGGAAGAUGAAAGUGUGGGACCUUCGGGCCACAUGCCAUAGGAUGAGCCCAAGUGGGAUUAGGUAGUUGGUGAGGUAAAGGCUCACCAAGCCGACGAUCUCUAGCUGGUCUGAGAGGAUGACCAGCCACACUGGGACUGAGACACGGCCCAGACUCCUACGGGAGGCAGCAGUGGGGAAUAUUGCGCAAUGGGGGCAACCCUGACGCAGCCAUGCCGCGUGAAUGAAGAAGGCCUUCGGGUUGUAAAGUUCUUUCGGUAGCGAGGAAGGCAUUUAGUUUAAUAAACUAGGUGAUUGACGUUAACUACAGAAGAAGCACCGGCUAACUCCGUGCCAGCAGCCGCGGUAAUACGGAGGGUGCGAGCGUUAAUCGGAAUAACUGGGCGUAAAGGGCACGCAGGCGGUGACUUAAGUGAGGUGUGGAAGCCCCGGGCUUAACCUGGGAAUUGCAUUUCAUACUGGGUCGCUAGAGUACUUUAGGGAGGGGUAGAAUUCCACGUGUAGCGGUGAAAUGCGUAGAGAUGUGGAGGAAUACCGAAGGCGAAGGCAGCCCCUUGGGAAUGUACUGACGCUCAUGUGCGAAAGCGUGGGGAGCAAACAGG
RNAcentral lists this ribosomal RNA (759 nucleotides) under Parahaemophilus parainfluenzae. RNAcentral describes it as "Haemophilus parainfluenzae bacterial SSU rRNA". It matches the Rfam family "Bacterial small subunit ribosomal RNA", at positions 28 to 776 of the family's 1533-position model. The record is from RNAcentral. Lineage: Bacteria; Pseudomonadati; Pseudomonadota; Gammaproteobacteria; Pasteurellales; Pasteurellaceae.